This 332-nucleotide unclassified non-coding RNA is filed under the name soil metagenome. RNAcentral describes it as "partial contains 5.8S ribosomal RNA, internal transcribed spacer 2, and large subunit ribosomal RNA". The stretch from base 1 to 120 matches the Rfam family "5.8S ribosomal RNA", at positions 35 to 154 of the family's 154-position model. The record is from RNAcentral.
GAUGAAGAACGCAGCAAAAUGCGAUAAGUAAUGUGAAUUGCAGAAUUCAGUGAAUCAUCGAAUCUUUGAACGCACAUUGCGCCCGCCAGUAUUCUGGCGGGCAUGCCUGUUCGAGCGUCAUUUCAACCCUCAAGCACAGCUUGGUGUUGGGACUCGCGUUAAUUCGCGUUCCCCAAAUUGAUUGGCGGUCACGUCGAGCUUCCAUAGCGUAGUAGUAAAGCCCUCGUUACUGGUAAUCGUCGCGGCCACGCCGUUAAACCCCAACUUCUGAAUGUUGACCUCGGAUCAGGUAGGAAUACCCGCUGAACUUAAGCAUAUCAAUAAGCGGAGGA